AAACCAUGAAGGCGUGUCAGAUCGUCUGCUCAACACGGAGAAGUGACAACGCCAAGUGUGGUGGCCAGAAUCGAUUAACAGCUAGCCUGUAGCGUAAAAAAACCGUGACCGAAUGCUGUGUUAGGCGACAGAAACUGCAGAGUGAAAUUGGUAAGAUGCCCCUGUCUCAGCGAUUCCGGACGCCAUAUCGAGAGAAAAACCAUAUGCGGUUUGAGUCAGGAAGAGAAACAGGAAACGAGGUUAGCGGCUUGAUGCAGAGAGAUGAUGCUGGUGACAUGUUGGAUUUGAUUGGUCGAUCACAGAAAUCCAGCCAAAUUCAAAUUCAGGGAAGUAAAAAGGCAGUGAAAGUAAAACUGACAAGAGCAAAAAAACCCAAGGCUAAAGUAGCCCACAAGAUAUGCUCAGAACCGAAAAGUUGUCUACGUAUGGAACAGAGAGAAUUCCAAAAGACACCUCUACAAGACUCUGAGAAUGCAGGUCUUACGCCACCAAGGCAAGAAAUACAGUCUUCCGAAAUAUAUGACUUCCCAGAAUCUCCAAACCAAGACAGACAGAAGGUGAAGCGUGACUUUAACAAAAGGUUAGCUGAACGUCAGGUAUUGAGAACGAUCCAAAAGAUGGCAGAGGAACUCAGAACUUUACGUCUGAGACAGCAGCACCUAAGACGAUCUUACCUGGAACUACUUGCUUAAUAAAAACUACAGAUCCUUGUCGAGAUCAUACCAGUGCUUUAACUGACAAACCUGACCUUCGAAUACCCCAGUUAAGUCCCGAUGUGUAUGCCAUUAUCCAUGUUGUUCGGCUUUGUGUUAUAGCUUGGGUAAGUAUGCACCAUUUACUUGUUGAUUUAAGAGGCUUGUUUAAUGCCUCUUUUAAGACAGAGGUUGUAAAUAAAAUAGGCCUAUAUUAGUAACUGGUUCGUUGACACUUUAAGGAAAUGACAAAUAUAGUUUAUGUAAAUGUGAAAUGUCGAAAAGAAGUAAAACAUUUGUGAGGCGACGUUUGUGCUGCGAUGGAGAAUUAACAUAAUAUUUACUUUUCCCUGCGUGAAGCUAAUUUAACUGUUCGGGUCACCUCACGACGUUUUCUCGAUCCAGUGACUGGAUGACAGUUUCGUUUUUAUGGACUUUAAACGUUUGCCUCACUGAACCGUGAACAUACACGUGACGUGCCACGUGCUUUUUGUAGCAUAUAAUAUGUACAUCUUCUCGAAAGUUCACGAAAAACUGUGAUAAUUUAAAGAUUUUAUAAAGACUACACGUUGUGUAAAACAACACGAUUUUAUUGAAGUAAAUGCCAUACAGAAUGUUUUCGCAAUGUUUUUCCGUGCAUUGACAGUGUGUUAAAUUACUGCGUGUUUUUGAUCUCAACAACUCGUUGGUUUAUUGUAACUACAGGAUAUGGUAUGAUUUCGAAGAGCUCCGCUAAAGUCUCUAAAGGGUCGCAUUCCCAAAUUCAGUUGCCACAGGAAACAGGCUGCGACAGAUCAGCGCAUAGAAAAGAAUUGGGUGUAGAAUUUAGACGGCCGAAGAAAAUCAAUCCCCGGCCCCUGAUGGACGCCUUCGCAGAAGAGUUUCCCUUAAAUUGAUGCAGGUGAUGUCUAUGUCACUUGAAGUAUACACAGUUUACACGGAGUGACUUUCAUAUACAUGAAUAUAUAUAAGGGUCGGUGAUCCAGUGUCAUCCAUGUCUAGUUUAAAUGUGUCAAGGAGACAACAUCUUGAUAAUGUACCGAAAUAACAUUGAAAUGACAGUAAACCCAAAGCAAAGAUACAAAGCAAGAGUUUCCUCUGCAAGCACAUUUACGAAUGAGCCUGACAUAAUAUGCUGUAUAUCUAGCUUAUGUAGAUGUAGCAUUAUAUUAGGCUCGUAUAUGUACACAUGCUCACCAAAAAUCACUUGUGUUGAAAUCUAUCGCAACAAUACAACAGAAACACAGAAAUGUGUUACCCCAAUACGAAAAGGUGUUAAAUAAAUAUGAAAUGCAAAUGUUUGUGUUGAACCAAAAUGAGGUAAUUUAUGCAAUACAACACGAACAACAACGUAUUUUGCAACAAGUAUUGUGUAUAACAUACAACACACCUUGUGUUCAAUUCUUUAAACUCAAGACCUUGUAUUAAUUCAACACAAGAUAGACAAGACUUUUGUUGGGAAGUUUGUGUUCAUACAGUACAACUUUUUUGUUGUUGUUUUUUUUUUUGUAUAUAUGCUCCCAUAAAAUCGAGUGUAUAAACUCUCUCUCAUAUUGUAUCGAUGGGAACUAUAAAGUAGUCACAAUUAUGGAUAAAGAGCUAAAAACCAUAUAUCUUAAACUGUAAAGGAUUGUCACUGACGUUUGUUAUAUCGGCCACUAACAGAAUUCGCAAUUACUAUGUACCCGUGCUCAUGUUUUUGAACUCUUUCGCUAAGUGGUCUAUUUAAGAGUGUUACGUCUUUAAAUAGAUUGUUUUUGUAAUGUGUGUUGUUGUAGUGUAGAGUUAAUACCUAUCAGGUUAAUCAUGAUGUGACAAGGCAUUUUUGUUAAAUAUUUCAUUCAUUUUGUAGAUGUCAGUCACAAACAAAACUCACUCAGUCUCAUCCACUGAAAAACAAAUGACAUAUCUUUUUGACCUUUGUAUACUGUAACAAUAUACUGACAUUGGCCGUGGGGCGCUUGUCUCCUUUAAACCACAGCUAAAAGCUUUCAACCACCUGCGGUACAGGGUUAUAUGCCACAUUGUGCGUAACUGUUUGACUGCGUAUAGGUGCAUAUCUACAUGCACCGACACGGGGACCCAUGACAAUUGUACUUUUUACCCCUCUGCCAAAAAUGGCCUAUAAGUGGCCUCCGUAGCCGAGGUGGUUAGCGUCCCAGUGCGGCGCGAUGACCCAGGAGCCGCUCACAAUUGCGGUCGCUGUGAGCUCCUGCUGGCUUCCUCUCCGACUGGUUCUGUCCAAUUUUUUCCCACCAUAAUGCUAGACACCGACAUAUAAGUGAAAUAUUCUUGAAUACGACGUAAAACACCAAGUAAAUAAAUAAUAACCAAGUGGUAUUGUCGCAGCGGUCCGCCUCAGUCCAGCUUUCGUCCACUUUGUUAUAAACACUCCAUCUCUUGACCACUUGUUUAUAGGUUUACCAAACUUGCACUACACGUACACGUAGGCACUGGGAAAAACCGUAUUGAUUGUCGGUGACUUUGGGCAAUUUUUUUCAUGUCAUCUUGGUCAAUAAAGAUAUAGGCUUUUUUGGAACACGCGUGUAAACGAUAGAUCUUAGAGUAUUUUUGAUCAAACUCUACCACAUGUGCACAUUGUCAUCAAAGGAACCCUAUUGCUUUUAAUUGACAUCAGCUUCUGUGAUCUAGUGUGUAGCGUGCCCGCGCAGCGCAAUGGCCCAGGAACCUUUCAUCAAUGCGGUCGCUGUGAGUUCAGGCCCAGCUCAUGUUAGCUUCGUCUCUGGUCGUAGGUGGGAAGGUCUGACAUCAACCUGCGGUUGGUCAUGGAUUUCCCCCGGGCUCUUGAACGCUUUUAACCAGGAGUACCAAAGUUAUACGACAUGUUCACACAGGCGUUUAAUUGGAUGAAAUCUUUUCAUAUUUGGUGUUCUUGGCCAAUGUUUUUCACGGUCAUUUAAUUUAUCUUUUGUGACAAGCAUGUUAUCGUGGUAGGAAUAUCUGUUGAAGCCUUAAAAUCAUUUUUAUCAACCUGGUGCUACACGUGCAGCUAAUCACAAAGAAUACUUUUGUUUUG
Molecule: RNA transcript, 3729 nt
Organism: Liolophura sinensis
Lineage: Eukaryota; Metazoa; Mollusca; Polyplacophora; Chitonida; Chitonidae
Exons: 5
Source: RefSeq, a predicted model, not a curated record